Homo sapiens (human) is the source of this 6211-nucleotide RNA transcript. It is a transcript of the gene named nudix hydrolase 16, with no coding region annotated. The transcript is spliced from 2 exons. The record is from RefSeq and is marked validated. NCBI's taxonomy places the organism in Eukaryota, Metazoa, Chordata, Mammalia, Primates, Hominidae.
CUUCGGGACAGCAGAGGAGCAGUGUCCGGCCAUGGCCGGAGCCCGCAGGCUGGAGCUAGGCGAGGCCCUGGCGCUGGGGUCGGGCUGGCGUCAUGCGUGCCACGCUCUCCUCUACGCGCCGGACCCUGGGAUGCUCUUCGGCCGCAUCCCGCUGCGCUACGCCAUACUGGUGAGAAGGGGGCGCGCCCGGCCACUUUCUGCCUGAGCCCCGCACCCUCUCUGGUGGUCUCCUCUGGGGCGCCCCUGCCAAUCCCCGCUUCCCCCUCCCGCAGAUGCAGAUGCGCUUCGAUGGACGCCUGGGCUUCCCCGGCGGAUUCGUGGACACGCAGGACAGAAGCCUAGAGGACGGGCUGAACCGCGAGCUGCGCGAGGAGCUGGGCGAAGCGGCUGCCGCUUUCCGCGUGGAGCGCACUGACUACCGCAGCUCCCACGUCGGGUCAGGGCCACGCGUUGUGGCCCACUUCUAUGCCAAGCGUCUGACGCUCGAGGAGCUGUUGGCUGUGGAGGCCGGCGCAACACGCGCCAAGGACCACGGGCUGGAGGUGCUGGGCCUGGUGCGAGUGCCCCUGUAUACCCUGCGGGAUGGUGUAGGAGGCCUGCCUACCUUCCUGGAGAAUUCCUUUAUUGGCUCUGCGCGGGAGCAGUUACUUGAAGCUCUCCAGGACUUGGGACUGCUGCAGUCUGGCUCUAUUUCAGGCCUUAAGAUUCCAGCUCAUCACUAGAGGCAGCCCUCCAUGGACCCAUGAAAACUGAGAUGAGGACCUUGGUACUAGGGAGGGAGGGAAGGACGUGGGAAUGUUUUCUUAUUGGAUCUGAGAGAUGAUACAUGAUACCAGAUGAAAAGAAGGAGAAGUGUGUACCAUAUGUUUUGAGCAGAGGACCCUCCAACUUAUGGCAUCAGGGGCAAAAAGUCACAGCUUAUCCCAGGCACCCUGGCAGGUUCUCAGAGCCUGCCUCCUCCCUGUUUAUAUGCGUACAGCCUGGUAACCCCCAGGCAUGCAAAUAUACAAUCUGUAACAACACACAGCCUGACACCUUCCCCUGGUCAUGUCCAGUUUAACCUUGAAGUGGCAUUUGUCACACUACCCUGGUCCCUGAUUGCAAGGAGCUUCUGAAGCAAGGGUGAAUCCUUCCCACACUCCUCCAUGGUUGCCCUCCAGGGUCUAGCCCAGCCUAUUUGUUAGGGAGGAUAGAGAAACAGAGCACCCCCUGUGCUUUCUGAAAAUAGACUUGCUCUUGUCUUGAGUGGUGACCAAAGCAGUUGGCUCUUAAAAGGUGGGAGAGCAGCCCAACCAAUCCCCAAUCCUUUUCUUCUGAAACUGAGCAGGAAGGGUAAGGAAGUGGCUAGGUCUCCUUGGACUGAGCAUGGACAUGAGUCCUGUGAGGACUGGUGUCUCUCCUCUAGAGCUUUCAUCUUUGGGAUGCCUGAGACUCCGAGACUAUCAGAAGGGAAUUGACCCACCCCAGUCUAGCACCACCCUGCCUUCACUUCAUCUACAUAAAGGUGGUAUAAAAACAUAGACUGGAGGAGGUAAUCCAUGGAGAGAGAAAAAGAAGAGGGCUCAGGACAAGGCCCUGAGGAGGCCCAAUCCUAAAAGUUUGGGCAGAGGGAACCAGGCACGUUAAAGAAGACAGAAAGCGGACUAUGCAGAGUGCUUGUGAGGGUUUCACUAAAACAGAGGCAAAACUGUCCAUUGAAUUCAGUAACAUGAAGUGUUUGAUGACUAUGAUGGCAGCAGUUUCAGGAAGGGCGGUAUGGAAGGCAGGCUGUACUGGUUGAGUGAAUGGAAAGUUGGGGAGUAGAACGUGUGAGAAGUUGGCCUUCAAGGGGCUCAGGUUAAUAAUAGAGAGCUAUGGAGUCAAGGCAUGUUUAAGAUGGGAGGUAGAGCAUGCCAAUAUUGAUGGCAACAGUCAAGAUGGUGUGAUGAGAGAGAUGGGAGGGGCACAAAGAGGAGGACCCCUGAAGGAGCAGAGUCCAUGAGAAAGAAGGAGGGAUGGGACCUUUGUAGGAAGAGACACAGUCCUGCAGCCUCAUAUGGCUCAAUAAAACAGAAAGGGGCAAGUAUAGAAGAUUAGGAUGACUAAAUUAAUGGGGAAAUGAUGAAGGAGUUUGAAUCUCUUCUUUGUGAAAUGAAGUGAGACUAUCAGCUAGUUGUGGGUGGAGUGUGUUCUCAGAAGGUAUGAAGUAGAUGUUUUCCUAGGUGUUGGAAAACAGGUUGAUUAAGGCAACAGCAGAAGGGCAGGGCAAGGCUGAGCUCUGAGAUGGUCAGUUUAGAGUAGGAUGCUGGGCACUCAGGUGUGUGUGUGUUGAGUGGGGCUCUGCACACACCUGUCUUCCCCUCAUCAGGAUUCAGGAGCUGGGAUGGGUACACUUACUGCAGUGUUGGGGUUUUGCCAGGGAAGUAAAAGGAGUUGAGAGAAAGAUGGGUCAGUUCAGAAGACAUACACAGGAGAAAUUGUAGUGAUGAAAUGUGCAGUCUAAGGUUUAAUCUGACCAAGAAAUUGGAAUUGAAAACAGGAGGUGACUAGGGAGGGAUUAGGAAAUUAGAGGUCUUGACAAGAUAGAAACUCCAGCAUGGUGAGGGGUUGGGCAGGGAGGUAUAUUUGAGCCAGACAGGAGUGCUUUGGAAAUUGAGAGGUGGAGCAAUCUCAGGUAAAGGCAAAAUAGAGGGUAUGACCUGGGGUUGCUGGCCAGAGCCAGGGAGGAGCCUUAAGAAGUGAAAUCUAGGGUUGGCGAGGCUGGAGGGCAGGGUGAGCCUCCACAUGGGUGCUGAAGCAAGAAACCGACAGAUGUUGAGGAGAAUGGUGUGACCUAGGAGUCAGCAUCCUUGGUGAACAAGAGGAGUGGCCACAAGGCCAGUGGCACCUGCCAGAGGGGAAAGCAGGCAUGACAGGAUAGCAUCUCCCAGGUGAGAGCCUUUUGAGGAAGGGAGGGUGGGCAGUGGUCUGGAAGCUUGAUGCAGAGCAGUGUGGGUCCCACUGGCAGCCCUUGGUCUUAGAAGAAUGGGAGUACCCAGUGGGGGAGCAGCUGUACAAUGAGGUAGACUCCUAGAGGUUAAUUAUCAUCUCCUAAUCUUACCCUGACCCUUUUGUCAAACGUUAUCUAGAUUAAACCUCAGUAUAGGCAGGCUGCAGGAAAUGGACAUUCCAGUGGCCCCUGGGGUUCCAGCCUGUAGCAGCUUCAUCUGUGCUUUGUGCACUUGGUUCUCAGUCAUCUCUGCAAGGGACCCUGACGCCUGGGAGAUCAGAGCCACUGACCCUUUAUGGCACUGCUAACAGACCCCUUCCCUCAGGUAAUUCUGGAUCCAGAACUCAUUAUGGGAUGUAAUCCAGGUCAACACUAAUACCACUUGGAAGGUUCCGCUCUGUCUCACUCUGCUUGAGUAUCCCACUGAUCAGUCUCUCAGUGCCUGCCUACUGGGCAGCUCAUCUGUCCACUUAUUCGUAUUAAAUUUGCUUUUUAUUUAGGUCUCUGGAGAUGGUUGCGUGGGGAAGAGCCCAUGACUUUCCUAUAUGAUCCCUUGAACAUACUCUCCAAGUCAGUAGAUUACCUCUCAGGCAGCCUUCAUAAAAGUGUUUCACUGUACUGGGGUUUGUGUUCAUCUCACUCACAUAGACAGUCUCUGGGUAGGCAGGUGGGGGGUGAUACAAGUUCACACUCUGUGUUUCUCCUCCUGUUAGCCAUUCCCACCCUGCUGAUGUUUAAGGAAAGCCAGGGAUGAUGACCCACUUAAGCUUUCCUUGGCCUUGUUAAGUCCAAUCAUCUGGGGCAGGAAGAAGAGAAAUGCUCAUUGCAAUCUUUGACCCCCACUAACUGCUGUGGUGACUUUGACCCAAGCCCUUGACCUCCUUUUCCUUAUCUGAAAUGUUGCUGUGAUUCCUGUGGUGAGAUCAGAUGAGGCAGCACUUGGGAUAAGCUUGCAGAGAUGCAUUGAGCGGUAUGAAAGUACAGGAUGCUAUGUACUUUCCUGCUUCACAGCACAUUUUGUUUCUUGCAAGGUGAGUGGCCCAGCCGCCUCUCCACAAACACGUGUUUCUGCCUUUCUCAGCAUAAUCAGCAAGAUGUUCCCACUUCUCAGCAUUGCACUUUUCUGCUGGUGCAGAAUAAAAACACUUUGAGCCCCACCCUGUCCUGAGACAAAGUCCUCUGUGGUCACUUGGCAUAUGGCAAAGCUGCUGCUGUGGGCUGGAACAUUUGAGGCAACAGUGACUUCCUCCUUUCCUAGUUACCGGAACCCUUAGAGCUGGGAGCCGGCCAGUGAAACAGACAAGGGGAGGGGAAGAGAAGAGGGAAGGCAUGUUUCCUAUAUGAGUUUCAGUUUGUUGCACAGAAAUGUUUUUGAAACCUUUAUCUCCAAUAGAAUCACAAACGGGUGUCAGAGAGUCAAAACUAGAGGAAAAAGUUUAGUCUGUAAACAAAUCAUUAGAUGGCAUCAGAAUUUGAACCAAAGUAAAAGAUGCUGGACCUUGGCACUUAUCAGAGAAGUAUAGAAGAGCCAGGUAGGGGAUUUUAUUUACAACAUGUUCAAUUCUGAGGAAGAGGAGUAUGGGCAGGGCAGAGGAAAAAGGAAAAAUGGGAAACCCCCAUGGACUUAGGGCCCCCACAAAGAGAAACCAUGUGCCUUCUCCCCACUUCCCUUCUGGCUUGGGCAAAUGAGGCUCCCUUUAGGGGUAGAGGUACUCUACAGGGGCUAUGUUCCCUUUAGGGGUAGAGGUAGUCUACAGGGGCCAGCUGGGCAGAGAUGAAAUCUUGCAAAGGAACCCUUCUUACACUCGAAAAGCAAGAAUAGCAAAGGGACUUUGGGAAGGACAUAAAACAAGAAAAGGAAGCUCCUCACCAACAGCUCCCAGAUGGAGGGAGUUUGUGUGUCUAGCAUUUUCACCAAAGUGCUGCUCAUCCUGAUGCACAGAUGCAGAUUGGAGCUGCUGCCUGUGCCCUCACCAUGGGUAUGUACCCACCACAGGCAUUCCCAGGUGAUGCGGGGGCAGAGGAUUCCCUCUUUCCACUCAGGAUAACAACCCCUCGAUGGGGUUUUCAACAAGUAUAGAAAGCUCCUGGACUCAGCCAAGACCCUCACCUACAGUCCCAGUCCUCCCACCUUCUUCAGGUCUCUAGAAGACAGAACUGAUGGGUUUACAACAUCCUAUUAUCCAGCACUAGUCCUAGGUUGUGGAUGUAGGGAAAGGCCAGGUAAACAAGGAAGGGAGAACAGGUGAAUGACCCCAAUUGUUUGAAACCAAAAGAGCAGAAUUGCCCCUAAUUGAUUUAAGUAAACAGCAAGUAACAUAGGUCUGUUAAAUAGAAGAGGAUGUGAGCACCAGAUGCACGUGAUAAAGACCAUGCUCUGGAAGAUUCAUUCCAAGGAGUAGAAGUGGUAUUUACUCAGGGCAUUUAAGGAGAGCAGGGACUCUGAAAUGAGGUGAGAGAAAAGAUAAGACAUGCAGGAACAGCUGGCAACACCAAGAAAGAAUUUAAGGAGAGGGAUCUCUCUGUUAGAGAACUUAACAUUACCCUAGGAACAGCAAGAGCAUCAUCAGCCCCAGGAAAAUCUACCUCUGAUAUGGAGACCAGGCUUAAGAAAAUCCCCUAGAACCCAGAGAAAAAGUGCAAAACAAGGAAAAUGGCCAAAGAGAAUAUCAUAGAUACAGAGAUCAGACAAUGAGAAUCCAGAGUCUUGUUAAGUGAUAGAAGGAAAAUACUAACAGAACACAUGUAACAGGAACAACAUUUUAGAGGAAACAGGACAAAAACUUCCCUAAACUCAAGAUACUACACCAGAAGUGGGCAGUACUCACUAUGUUCAGGGGAACAAAAAGAUAAAAACUAAAAAGCAUCAGACUGUUUUUUGUGUGAAGGAAAUUUGUAAGGUAGGAGAAUUAGGUCACUUACUACAGCACAAAUUGCAUGUCUAUCUAAAUUGACGUUUAAGUGCAAAAGCAUGGAUAUUACUCAUGCAGUUUUACUGGAAAACCAUACAGAUGUUUUUCAGGAAUGUACAGAAUGAAUCAAAGGAAAUAACUGAUCGACAGGAAAACUGUAGGAAAUUUGUGGGCUGGCUGUGAGGCAGUGGCUCCUAUUAUGUACAAUUUUAGUGCUAAGUACUGUGUUAAUGAUGGCUAUCAAACAAUAUGUUAACAUCUGAAAGGAAAUAUGUAUAUUGAGCAUAAUAAAUAUUUUAUAAAUAACAAUAAAUCAUUUGAUUUUAUGCUA